AAUAUUGGCCACUGGGCGAAAGCCUGAUCCAUCCAUACCGCGUGUGUUAAUAACUUCUUCGGAUUGUAAAUCACUAUAAGUUGGGUGGAAGGGCUGUAGUUUAAUUCCCUUCCAUUUUGACUUUACCAACAGAGUAAGCACCGUCUAACUUCCUGCAUGCUUCUGCGGUAAUACGAAUGGUGCAAGCGUUAAUCGGAAUUACUGGGCGUAAAGCGCGCGUAGGUGGUACGUUAAGUUGGAAGUGGAAGCCCCGGGCUUAACCUGGGAAUUGCUUUCAAAACUGACGAGAUAGAGAACGGUAGAGGGUAGUGGAAUUUCCUGUGUAGCGGUGAAAUGCGUAGAUAUAGGAAGGAACAUCAGUGGCGAAGGCGACUACCUGGACUGAUACUGACACUGAGGUGCGAAAGCGUGGGGAGCAAACAGG
Molecule: ribosomal RNA, 424 nt
Filed under: uncultured bacterium
Lineage: Bacteria
Description: partial 16S ribosomal RNA
Rfam family: Bacterial small subunit ribosomal RNA
Source: RNAcentral